This 253-nucleotide ribosomal RNA is filed under the name uncultured bacterium. RNAcentral describes it as "partial 16S ribosomal RNA". It matches the Rfam family "Bacterial small subunit ribosomal RNA", at positions 524 to 776 of the family's 1533-position model. The record is from RNAcentral.
UACGUAGGGUGCAAGCGUCGUCCGGAAUUAUUGGGCGUAAAGAGCUCGUAGGCGGUCUGUCGCGUCUGCUGUGAAAACUCGGGGCUUAACCCCGGGCCUGCAGUGGGUACGGGCAGACUAGAGUGCGGUAGGGGAGACUGGAAUUCCUGGUGUAGCGGUGAAAUGCGCAGAUAUCAGGAGGAACACCGGUGGCGAAGGCGGGUCUCUGGGCCGUAACUGACGCUGAGGAGCGAAAGCAUGGGGAGCGAACAGG